This 693-nucleotide ribosomal RNA is filed under the name Staphylococcus pseudintermedius. Its description in RNAcentral is "partial 23S ribosomal RNA". It matches the Rfam family "Bacterial large subunit ribosomal RNA", at positions 809 to 1503 of the family's 2925-position model. Lineage: Bacteria; Bacillati; Bacillota; Bacilli; Caryophanales; Staphylococcaceae. The record is from RNAcentral.
CUGAGGGUAGCGGAGAAAUUCCAAUCGAACUUGGAGAUAGCUGGUUCUCUCCGAAAUAGCUUUAGGGCUAGCCUCAAGUGAUGAUUAUUGGAGGUAGAGCACUGUUUGGACGAGGGGCCCCUCUCGGGUUACCGAAUUCAGACAAACUCCGAAUGCCAAAUAAUUUAACUUGGGAGUCAGAAUGUGGGUGAUAAGGUCCAUAUUCGAAAGGGAAACAGCCCAGACCACCAGCUAAGGUCCCAAAAUAUAUGUUAAGUGGAAAAGGAUGUGGCGUUGCCCAGACAACUAGGAUGUUGGCUUAGAAGCAGCCAUCAUUUAAAGAGUGCGUAAUAGCUCACUAGUCGAGUGACACUGCGCCGAAAAUGUACCGGGGCUAAACAUAUUACCGAAGCUGUGGAUUGUCCUUUGGACAAUGGUAGGAGAGCGUUCUAAGGGCGUUGAAGCAUGAUCGCAAGGACAUGUGGAGCGCUUAGAAGUGAGAAUGCCGGUGUGAGUAGCGAAAGACGGGUGAGAAUCCCGUCCACCGAUUGACUAAGGUUUCCAGAGGAAGGCUCGUCCGCUCUGGGUUAGUCGGGUCCUAAGCUGAGGCCGACAGGCGUAGGCGAUGGAUAACAGGUUGAUAUUCCUGUACCACCAUUAUUCGUUUUAAGCGAUGGGGGGACGCAGUAGGAUAGGCGAAGCGUGCUGUUGGAG